RNAcentral lists this long non-coding RNA (243 nucleotides) under Lathyrus oleraceus (garden pea). Its description in RNAcentral is "Pisum sativum (pea) long non-coding RNA (PSAT_LNC004701)". The record is from RNAcentral. Lineage: Eukaryota; Viridiplantae; Streptophyta; Magnoliopsida; Fabales; Fabaceae.
AUCAGUCCUUUUAAUUUUCAGUAUUCUAUGUGGGAAAGGAACUGGUGGCACAUACUCCUUCUCUUUUUCUUUUUCAGUUUCUACCACAAAAGAGGGUUCAGUUUCUAUCACAACAGAAAAAGGUUUAGGUGUUACCUCGAGAAUUUUUUUAUUUUUUUCUAGGGUUGGUUCGGUAACCUUCCCGGAUCUCAAGUAAAUUACACUCACAAUAGCAUUAGGGCCUUUUAGAUUCACAACUAUUUG